Gadus morhua (Atlantic cod) is the source of this 4158-nucleotide RNA transcript. It is a transcript of the gene named mutL homolog 3 (E. coli), with no coding region annotated. The record is from RefSeq and is a predicted model, not a curated record. NCBI's taxonomy places the organism in Eukaryota, Metazoa, Chordata, Actinopteri, Gadiformes, Gadidae. The transcript is spliced from 13 exons.
UAACCGGAAAAGGCUUCGUCGUUGACUGUAAACAAGCCAGUGGGCUUGACGUGUGAUUUUAAACGUGUUGGCGUACUAGGUAUCUGAAGUUCCGAUGGUGGUCUAAUUUUUUAACGUAUAAACAUGCGUCUUGUCAUGUCUUUGUGGUCGAGCAGUAGUCAGGCAACUGUCGAACCCCACAAGCCAACCGACCAAAUAAGGUCCGUUAACGGUUAACAUCGUUAGUAGCAGCCGGUAACGUUGGUGUUUUACCUCAUUUGGUAUUUACCAUUAUGGUAAGCCAUGAUAAAAUGUUUGUCAGCAGAUGUCCAGAGCAAAAUUCGCUCUGGAAUCGCCAUAUCUUCGCUUCAGCAAGGCGUUGAAGAGCUGCUCCUGAACAGCGUGGACGCGGGGGCGACAUGCGUCGGGGUGCGGAUGGACAUGAAGGCGUUCAAGGUUCAGGUGGUGGACAACGGGUCAGGGAUGGACCUGGAUGAUCUGCAGAGGGUUGGAAACAGGUACUGUACUAGUAAAUGCAGUUCCAUGGAGGACUUGGAGAAUCUGAGGUUUUAUGGGUUUCGUGGGGAGGCCCUUGCAAGUAUAGUUUCCCUAGCGACCCUGGUAGAGAUAUCUUCAAGAACAAGACUAUCCGUUAAAACACACAUUAAGGUCUUCAAGGAUGGGAAGGGGUUGGAUGUCUUGGAAGCGGAGUCUUCCCGUCCCUCCGCCGGGACCACAUUGACCAUUUGCAACUUUUUCCACAACAUGCCAGUCAGGAGGAACCGAAUGGACCCCGUCCUUGAAGCGGAGCGCAUCAGGCACCGGGUGGAGGCCAUCUCUCUGAUGCACCCGUCUGUGUCUUUUACUUUGAAAAACGAUGUGACAGGAGCCAUGCUGGCCCAGCUCUCAAAAGCCAGAAGUACAUACCAUCGAUUUGUCCAGAUCUAUGGCUUAGGGCGAGGACAGCAUCUGCGAGAAAUCAGUCACAGCCAGGCACAAUUUAAAAUCAGCGGUCACAUAGGUAUAGAGGGUCACUACAACAAAAGCUUACAGUUCUUGUAUGUGAAUGAAAGGCUACUUCUGAAAACACGCCUUCACCAGUUGCUCAAUUUCCUCCUCCGGAAGCUUAACAGUUCAGGUCAGAAGAAUGAUAGCCCAGACGGCCAGUCGAUAAUCAGGAGCCCAAAGCAGAGAAGGGGCCAAGAACUACAUCCAAUAUAUAUCAUAAAUAUUAAAUGCUGCUACUCAGAAUAUGACAUUUGUCUUGACCCAGCCAAAACUCUCAUAGAGUUUAAAGACUGGGAUGGGAUUUUGAUCUGUUUAGAACAGGCUGUUAAAGCCUUUCUAAGCAGAGAGAAUCUGUUGGCUGACCCCUCGCAAGAAGAGUUAGACUGCGCUCCUCAAAGCCUGCUGUGUACAUCUGAGAAACCAGUGAACUUGGGUUUCCACGGUACCCAAUUAAUAACAGCAGAGGCCUCGCUCAGCCACACUGUCUGCGGUACGCUUUCAUCCGGGCCGGUUCAUCGUAAAGUUGUUGUUGUCGACGGUGCGCUUGAAGAAAGUGUGGCACAGACAUGUGUUCAAGACGACAUCUCCAGUAAGGCAGCCACGGUGGAACCACUCGAGGAAGACGCUGGUCCGCCGGAAAUGGAGACGAUACGAAACGAAAGGCCCGCAAGCGUAGAAUCCAGGGGUGGAGCUGGGGCUCAUUGGAGUGGAUGCGUGAGUGGAGUGGAUCAGGUGGACGGCGGUCCAACUGAAGACCAUGGGGAGGGAGGGGUUUGGCACGCUGCCAAAGGUGGCAGUUUUACAGCGUCGCUAGACAAUGGACAAGAAACAUCUGCGCAUCGAAUUGUAGCUCAACAGAGCUCAAAUACACAUGGAGAAUCCGUGGAAGGGUUCAGAAAGAUCAGUCUAGCAGAUGCAUACAUUCAUGAAAGUCUGCCAGCUAAGAGCCACGAUGAUAGGCCAACGUUUUGCACAACAAAAACAUGUAAACAGAGCAUAGGCUUGAUGAAACGCAAAGUGUCGGAAGUUGACUACAUCCAGUCUAGUCAUAAAGUAUACUUGGACGAUGGUCAUAACAUUGCUUCAAAGGUUCCCAAGCUUACAUGUUUUAGGAAGUUAUUGUCCAAGGAAUCUGCAUCUCUGGACAGGUUUCGAAGCACAUACUGCAAGCCAAUGGGGGAGAAAAUGCUUUCUAUUGCAGCCUUCAGUAGCAGCAAGCAACCACAUUCCCUAUUGCCUCAGACUGGGGACAUCUUUGUCCCUGGCAAUGAAUUCCCCAUUGCUGAAAAGGAGACUCAAAAUACAGACAUCCCGGACCCUGUAAUAAUUCAGAGCGAUGUUCAAAGCCUACCUACCUUCUCUAUAUUCACCAAGCGGAAGCCUAUCUUAGACAAGACUGGAGGUGGUGGAGUUUCUCUGGCAUCAAAACUUAGUCAUCUGAAACAACAGCGAGUGGUUGACCUGCAUCAACAAAGCCCUCUUCAGUCUGAAAUGAUAGAUACUAAGGUAGACGACAACGUCCAAGACAGCAACAACAACAACUGUUCUCCCAACCGGACCUGUGGUGGACCUACAGCACAGAGCCCAGUGUCUGCCCUACAAGGCAGUUCAAGGCCUGAACUAACGACCGGGCCGGAGGGCUCAACGUCCGUAGACUGGCUGGAUCACUUUGACGACACACUGGGCCGGACGGUGUCCGUCAACCAGGUGACCGGACUGAGCCGCUACGAGGUCCCAGCCACGGGGGACACCCAGGUCUGCUGCACUUCGGAUGUCACACGCAUGGCAGUGAACGUUGUCACUGAGACAGGGUUUGAAUAUAGAUGCUACCCAUUUCAGAUGGAGCAAAUCUUGCCCUUCCUUCCCAGAGACAAAAGAGUAGUCAGUUCAGGGGCUGAAAACAGAGGGGGGGAUAAGCUGGAGAACUCUCUUUCCUCCAUGUACUCUAAAUGGAAGAACCCUGUGUUUGACAGGCCUCCUGUGGUCGGUGUAGACGUAUGCAGUGACCAAGCUGACGGUCUUGCUGUCAAGAUCCACAACAUCCUGUUUCCAUACCGCUGCUCUAAAGCCAUGAUUACCUCGAUGAAGGUGAUUCAUCAGGUAGAUAAGAAGUUCCUUGCGUGUCUGAUUAACACUCGGGACACAGAGUAUGCCCAAGACCCGGGAACUGAAGGAAAUCUCUUGGUACUGGUGGACCAGCACGCUGCACAUGAACGAGUCCGCCUGGAAAAGCUUAUUGCAGACUCCUACGAGGACGACCCCGACACGCCCGGCCAGCGGCGCCUGUGUUCCUCCAGCGUCGCGCCGCCGCUGGAGCUGAGCGUGACGGAGGAGGAGCUGAGGCUGCUCAGGGGCUGCCAGGCUCCUCUCCGCGGCCUGGGCCUGCAGCUGGAGCUGCCCACAACGGGGGCCCCCCGGGUCCUGGUGGGCAGGGUGCCGUUGUGUUUCACCGAGAAGGAGCACAACGAGGUGCGGCGGGGCCGGCCGUCCGUCAUCAAGGCCGUCGUGGAGGAAUACCUCAGAGAUCAGCUCGAGAUAUUCUGCUCCACAGGCAGCGUGCGAGGAACUCUGCCUCUCGCGGUGCUGAGGGUCCUGGCUUCCCUGGCAUGUCACGGAGCCAUCAAAUUCAACGACGUCCUGAGUCUGGACGAGUGCCACAGCCUGGUGGGCUCCCUGUCGUCCUGCCAGCUGCCCUUCCAGUGCGCCCACGGCCGUCCCUCCAUCGCGCCGCUGGCAGACACCCUGUUUCUGGAAGGCGACGAGAAGGAAACACAGAGACCCAACCUAGGACGACUCAGAAGAAUGUACAAGGCUUGGGAGCUUUAUGGACGUAGAAAACUGUGAUUUGUGUAUUUUAGUAUUGCAGUACAAACCUGGAUCAAUUCUAGGCUAUUUAUUUGAUUAAAUUAGAUGAAUUAUAUUGAUUUUGCUCUCUAUCAGACUUAUUUGGAAGCCUAACUGACAAUGUUUUAAAAGAAUAACAUAUUUCAUAUCAGAGGAGAUUAUUGUGAAAGUCAUCACAACAGGAUCUGUUGUCCAAGGUAAAGACCUCAAGUUAUCCAUGAAAAACGAGGCCUCGACUUUGAAUUAUUUUGCAGCAUCCUUCGUGCUGGCAUCAGGUUAAUAUGUAAUGCAAAUAUAUGAUGUCACGCAAAUCAUGUUCCUAAAGCA